AUUGAACGCUGGCGGCAGGCCUAACACAUGCAAGUCGAGCGGAUGAUGGGAGCUUGCUCCUGGAUUCAGCGGCGGACGGGUGAGUAAUGCCUAGGAAUCUGCCUAGUAGUGGGGGACAACGUUUCGAAAGGAACGCUAAUACCGCAUACGUCCUACGGGAGAAAGCAGGGGACCUUCGGGCCUUGCGCUAUCAGAUGAGCCUAGGUCGGAUUAGCUUGUUGGUGAGGUAAUGGCUCACCAAGGCGACGAUCCGUAACUGGUCUGAGAGGAGGAUCAGUCACACUGGAACUGAGACACGGUCCAGACUCCUACGGGAGGCAGCAGUGGGGAAUAUUGGACAAUGGGCGAAAGCCUGAUCCAGCCAUGCCGCGUGUGUGAAGAAGGUCUUCGGAUUGUAAAGCACUUUAAGUUGGGAGGAAGGGUUGUAGAUUAAUACUCUGCAAUUUUGACGUUACCGACAGAAUAAGCACCGGCUAACUCUGUGCCAGCCGCCGCAGUAA
RNAcentral lists this ribosomal RNA (500 nucleotides) under uncultured bacterium. Its description in RNAcentral is "partial 16S ribosomal RNA". It matches the Rfam family "Bacterial small subunit ribosomal RNA", at positions 30 to 523 of the family's 1533-position model. The record is from RNAcentral.